AUUGAACGCUGGCGGCAGGCUUAACACAUGCAAGUCGAGCGGGGGAAGGUAGCUUGCUACCGGACCUAGCGGCGGACGGGUGAGUAAUGCUUAGGAAUCUGCCUAUUAGUGGGGGACAACAUCUCGAAAGGGAUGCUAAUACCGCAUACGUCCUACGGGAGAAAGCAGGGGAUCUUCGGACCUUGCGCUAAUAGAUGAGCCGAAGUCGGAUUAGCGAGUUGGUGGGGUAAAGGCCUACCAAGGCUACGAUCUGUAGCGGGUCUGAGAGGAUGCUCCGCCACACUGGGGCUGAGACACGGCCCAGACUCCUACUGGAGGCAGCAGGGGGGAAUAUUGGACAAUGGGGGGAACCCUGAUCCAGCCAUGCCGCGUGUGUGAAGAAGGCCUUAUGGUUGUAAAGCACUUUAAGCGAGGAUGAGGCUACUCUAGUUAACACCUGGGGAUAGUGGACGUUACUCGCAGAAUAAGCACCGGCUAACUCUGUGCCAGCCGCCGCCGUAA
This 501-nucleotide ribosomal RNA is filed under the name uncultured bacterium. RNAcentral describes it as "partial 16S ribosomal RNA". It matches the Rfam family "Bacterial small subunit ribosomal RNA", at positions 30 to 523 of the family's 1533-position model. The record is from RNAcentral.